GACGAACGCUGGCGGCGUGCUUAACACAUGCAAGUCGAACGGAAAGGCCCUGCUUUUGUGGGGUGCUCGAGUGGCGAACGGGUGAGUAACACGUGAGUAACCUGCCCUUGACUUUGGGAUAACUUCAGGAAACUGGGGCGAAUACCGGAUAGGAGCUCCUGCUGCAUGGUGGGGGUUGGAAAGUUUCGGCGGUUGUGGAUGGACUCGCGGCUUAUCAGCUUGUUGGUGGGGUAGUGGCUUACCAAGGCUGCGACGGGUAGCCGGCCUGAGAGGGUGACCGGCCACAUUGGGACUGAGAUACGGCGCAGACUCCUACGGGAGGCAGCAGUGGGGAAUAUUGCACAAUGAGCGGAAGCCUGAUGCAGAAACGCCGCGUGCGGGAUGACGGCCUUCGGGUUGUAAACCGCUUUCGCCUGUGACGAAGCGUGAGUGACGGUAAUGGGUAAAGAAGCACCGGCUAACUACGUG
This 468-nucleotide ribosomal RNA is filed under the name uncultured bacterium. Its description in RNAcentral is "partial 16S ribosomal RNA". It matches the Rfam family "Bacterial small subunit ribosomal RNA", at positions 28 to 507 of the family's 1533-position model. The record is from RNAcentral.